CGAGCGGGCUGCGGGAGGACCUGAGGCGCGCGGCGGCCGGCCCUAGAGGGGCCUGUCCCGGGGCCCCAAGCAAGAGCCGCCGCAGGAGGAGGCGGCGGCGGCCGGAAACGAGUUCCCUGAGUCCGGAUACAGAGCUGCCAAAUGAGAGAAGCUUCCAGAAUGCUGCUGAAAGCAAUGAUUUGCAUCUUAUGGAGAAGCUGUUUGAAAAGAAGGUUAAUAUUAAUGCUGUGAACAAUGAAGCAUGGCUUGACAGUACUUCACCUUGCAGCCUGGUCUGGAAGUCUCGAGAGCGUGCUCAUGUUGACUCGAGCUGGAGCGGACCAGAGAGCCGAGAGGCAGGCAGGAGGGGAGUGCUGCCCUGCACCUCAAGGCGAAGCGUGGUCACAGCCCUGCGAUUCAGUGCUGCUCACCCAGCCGCCAGGAAUGCAGAGAUCAAGGAGGUGUGUGCAGGGGCUCAUACAAGAUCAAUAUCAGUGCUUUGCAGACAGUAA
This 491-nucleotide long non-coding RNA is filed under the name Capra hircus (goat). RNAcentral describes it as "lncRNA (ENSCHIG00000001139.1)". Lineage: Eukaryota; Metazoa; Chordata; Mammalia; Artiodactyla; Bovidae. The record is from RNAcentral.